AGGCUUUUACAGUGUAUACACUAAAAUAGGAAUGAUUCAGAGAAGAUUAGCAUGGCCCUUUGUGCAGAGAAGACACAAAUUUAUAAAGUGUUCAUGGUUUUA
Molecule: small nuclear RNA, 102 nt
Organism: Gracilinanus agilis (Agile Gracile Mouse Opossum)
Lineage: Eukaryota; Metazoa; Chordata; Mammalia; Didelphimorphia; Didelphidae
Source: RefSeq, a predicted model, not a curated record